GAUGAACGCUGGCGGCGUGCUUAACACAUGCGAGUCGAACGGAAAGGCUCCUGCUUGCCGGGGUACUCGAGUGGCGAACGGGUGAGUAACACGUGGGUGAUCUGCCCUGCACUUCGGGAUAAGCCUGGGAAACUGGGUCUAAUACCGGAUAGGACCACAUUUUGGAUGGUGUGGUGGAAAGUUUUUCGGUGUGGGAUGAGCUCGCGGCCUAUCAGCUUGUUGGUGGGGUAAUGGCCUACCAAGGCGUCGACGGGUGGCCGGCCUGAGAGGGUGUACGGCCACAUUGGGACUGAGAUACGGCCCAGACUCCUACGGGAGGCAGCAGUGGGGAAUAUUGCACAAUGGGCGCAAGCCUGAUGCAGCGACGCCGCGUGGGGGAUGACGGCCUUCGGGUUGUAAACUCCUUUCGCUAGGGACGAAGCGUUUUUGUGACGGUACCUGGAGAAGAAGCACCGGCUAACUACGUG
Molecule: ribosomal RNA, 467 nt
Filed under: uncultured bacterium
Lineage: Bacteria
Description: partial 16S ribosomal RNA
Rfam family: Bacterial small subunit ribosomal RNA
Source: RNAcentral